GUUCCAUGAUGAUUCUCCCAUGCGUGUCAUCUGACCCCCCCCAUUUAUCCUCCCCCCUGGCCUGCGUUCUGCUGGGCAGGGGGGGAGGAAUCCCAAGGGGAAAGUGAUCAUACCUGGAUAAC
RNAcentral lists this small nucleolar RNA (122 nucleotides) under Notechis scutatus (mainland tiger snake). RNAcentral describes it as "Small nucleolar RNA SNORD10 (ENSNSUG00000001340.1)". It matches the Rfam family "Small nucleolar RNA SNORD10". Lineage: Eukaryota; Metazoa; Chordata; Lepidosauria; Squamata; Elapidae. The record is from Rfam by way of RNAcentral.